RNAcentral lists this ribosomal RNA (714 nucleotides) under Paracoccidioides brasiliensis. RNAcentral describes it as "eukaryotic LSU rRNA". It matches the Rfam family "Eukaryotic large subunit ribosomal RNA", at positions 98 to 825 of the family's 3401-position model. The record is from RNAcentral. Lineage: Eukaryota; Fungi; Ascomycota; Eurotiomycetes; Onygenales; Ajellomycetaceae.
GCGGCAAGAGCUCAAAUUUGAAAUCUGGCUCCUUCGGGGCCCGAGUUGUAAUUUGUAGAGGAUGCUUCGGGCGUGGCCGCGGUCUAAGUCCCCUGGAACGGGGCGUCGCAGAGGGUGAGAAUCCCGUCUUCGGCCGGCCGGCCCCGCCCGUGUGAAGCUCCUUCGACGAGUCGAGUUGUUUGGGAAUGCAGCUCUAAAUGGGUGGUAAAUUUCAUCUAAAGCUAAAUACUGGUCGGAGACCGAUAGCGCACAAGUAGAGUGAUCGAAAGAUGAAAAGCACUUUGAAAAGAGAGUUAAACAGCAUGUGAAAUUGUUGAAAGGGAAGCGCUUGCGACCAGAGUCGGCCGCGGGGGCUCAGCGGGCACUCGUUGCCCGUGCACUCCCCCGUGGUCGGGCCAGCGUCGGUUUCGACGGCCGGUCAAAGGCCCCCGGAAUGUGUCGCCUCUCGGGGCGUCUUAUAGCCGGGGGUGCAAUGCGGCCAGUCGGGACCGAGGAACGCGCUCCGGCACGGACGCUGGCUUAAUGGUCGUAAGCGACCCGUCUUGAAACACGGACCAAGGAGUCUAACAUCCACGCGAGUGUUCGGGUGUCAAACCCGUCCGCGCAGUGAAAGCGAAUCGGAGGUGGGAACCACUCAAGGGUGCAUCCAUCGACCGAUCCUGAAGUCUUCGGAUGGAUUUGAGUAAGAGGAGAGGCUGUGGGACCCGAAAGAUG